Molecule: ribosomal RNA, 253 nt
Filed under: uncultured bacterium
Lineage: Bacteria
Description: partial 16S ribosomal RNA
Rfam family: Bacterial small subunit ribosomal RNA
Source: RNAcentral
UACGUAGGGCGCAAGCGUUGUCCGGAAUUAUUGGGCGUAAAGAGCGUGUAGGCGGCCCGGUAAGUCCGCUGUAAAAGUCAAAGGCUCAACCUUUGAAUGUCAGUGGAUACUGCCGGGCUAGAGUCCGGAAGAGGCGAGUGGAACUCCUGGUGUAGCGGUGGAAUGCGCAGAUAUCAGGAAGAACACCAACGGCGAAGGCAGCUCGCUGGGACGGUACUGACGCUGAGACGCGAAAGCGUGGGGAGCGAACAGG